Molecule: RNA transcript, 2478 nt
Organism: Prunus dulcis (almond)
Lineage: Eukaryota; Viridiplantae; Streptophyta; Magnoliopsida; Rosales; Rosaceae
Gene name: putative disease resistance RPP13-like protein 1
Exons: 8
Source: RefSeq, a predicted model, not a curated record
CGGAGAAACAGAAAAGAUUUACCUGGAAUAUCUCAUACAUUCCUGCAUAUAGGCAUCAAAUGUACACCAUUUUUAGAAGCCUACUUUUGCCAGAGUCAGUAGAUGCCAGAAUGAAGUCAUUGCCUAAACACAUUGGCACCCUCACAGCCUUCGACAUUUUGGGAUAUAUGAUCUUCAAAAUCUUGUGUCAUUUGCCUCCCAAGCUGCAAUAUUUUCAUAUUUUAAAUUGUGACAGACUGAGCCCUUUGGUGGGAGAUUACUGGGGUUUGCAAGGACUUGGUGGCAAUAUCUUGUGGACGUUUCUCAAGGAACAGCUGCUCAAUACCACUCUUCGCACUCUAUAUAUUAUGGCCUGUCAGUCUAUAAUUCCUGCCAGGAGAGGAACUUGAACGCCUCUCUUCACUGCAAAGGCUACAUAUUUGUGGGUGUGACAAUAUCCAAUUCCUGCCAGAAGAGCGUUUGCUGCCAUCUCUUUCUUAUCUGUGCAUCGACCAUUGUUUUGCCAUGUAGAAAAGGUAUCUCACAUUCCUUGCGUCAAGAUAGGUGAAGAAGUGAUCAUAGGAUAUGAGCUCUCUCUCCCUCUCGCUCACAUACAAAUCUUUUCGCAGGACAACAUAUCUUCUCUUGGAGAGAUAUUCAUUUGCAAGGUUUCUUUAUGUGUCAUUUCCAGAGGAGGGUUUACUAUUUAAUAGAAAGGUUCACCUGGAAUAUCUCAACUGACACAUUCCCAAAUACAGGCAUUGAAUGCACAACAUUUUGAGAAGCCUACUUUUUGACAUAGGUGGCAUGGCACAAACUCGCAUCCGCAUUUCCUUCCCCAUUGGCAUGCUGUCUCAUCUUUUCUGUUCUGUUACCAGCUUGAAGCUUGUGUAGAUAUGUUAUGCUCUUGUAAUUCUGAUCACAAACAUCGCUUGACAAAUGGAAAGUCACAAUUAGAUCUUUCAGGAGUUAGCCACACAAAAUAAAAAAGGAGGCCUCUUAUUUCAUACAAUUUUUCUAAAGUGAUCAUUCAUCCGUUUCUUUUUCAACAAUGGAGGAAUGUAUACUAAUCGUCUGGUCCGUCUGCUGCAUCACUCCCUAGUAGCUUCAUCUCCUGUCCUUUGCUUUAGAAUGUAUUAUCACCAAAAUUAUAAAGUAUACUCCUGUUACAAUUAAUUUGUUGAUUCUAAUUUGGACUUGUAGGAACAGGCCAAACAUGUUCAUACGUGGCAUUGCUCAAGUCAUCAUCAUUUGGGACAGAGAAUCAGCCUUCAAAUGUCUGCUGAGUCAAUGAUCCUUUCUAGAUAUCUCAAGUGUAAUGGAAAUUGAUGAGUUAUAAAGGAUUUGUAAACAUUUUCUACUGGAGGCUAGAAAUGCUUCUCAUAAGUGGCUGUGUUGCAAUUAUUUUGUAGGAUCAAAGACUCUGCAAAGAGUUUGUCGAUCUUGGGCAAGUGGAGAGAGAGGCGUCAAGUGAUACACAACAACCAUUUUCUGUGAGCUAAUUUGAUAAUGAUAAAUGGCAAAAAUGGCAGCAGCUUUGAUCGGAGAGGCUCUCAUCUCUGCUUCUAUCGAGGUGUUGUGUGACAGAGUUACUUCAGCCGAGUUCAUCGACUUAUUUCGGCAGAAGAAACUCGAUGAACCACUCCUCAUGAACCUGAAGGCGACACUGUUGGUUUUGUUCGCGGUGCUCAAUGAUGCAGAGGAGAAGGAAAUUGUGAACCCUGCUGUGAGAGAGUGGCUUAACGAGCUCAAGCAUGCUUUCUUUGAUGCAGAGGACUUACUUGAUGAGAUUGACACUGAAGCUUUGCGAUGCAAGCUGGAAGGAACAGACCAAAUAUGAACAGACCAAAUAUGUUCACACGUGGCAUCACUCAAGUCAUCAUCAUUUCCGACAGAAAAUCAGCCUUCAACUGUCUGCUGAGUCAAUGAACCUUUCUAGAUAUAUCAAGUGCAAUGGAAAUUCAUGAGUUACAUAGAGAUUUGUAAACAUUUUGAAGAUUGCAACACCUGCAAGUGAGAUGGGUGGUGACGAAAUCAGAGCUGAUCUUGAAGCCUCUGAUGCCCCGGUUAUUGCAAGUUGCACCUGAGAACAUGUUUUUUUGGGGUAAAAAACUGACAACAUGUUCGGAGCUGGCAAUUCAAUCAGUGAUGAACUUAAGAAGCAAAGCUCCAGUAAGGAAAUUGGUCGAGGUCGCCACAGGGAUGAUUGAUGGUGAAAUGGAUACUAUUUCUUAUUGCAGACUGUUCUCAAAGCUCUUGUUGGCAAAUGCAAGAAAUGGAGUAUUUUGAUUGGAAGGAGAGAUAAUGACAUGUCUUGACAAUUCUAGAACAGCCCAUUUGAGUUCUUUUGUCAGGCUGCAUCAUUCAAUCCCAGCAAAUAUCCGGUUUCUGCUAAACAGUCACUUAUGGCAAGGCCAACUCUGCUAAACAAUUACAUUUUUUCUUUUUGAGGAAUUUAACUUUGUCAUCAAAUCAAACAGUAUUCUAAUGCAUUAUGGU